AACGCUGGCGGCGUGCCUAACACAUGCAAGUCGAACGCGAAAGCCCCGCAAGGGGCAAGUAGAGUGGCAAACGGGUGAGUAACGCGUGGGUGACCUGCCUUCGAGCGGGGGAUAACGUUCCGAAAGGGACGCUAAUACCGCAUAACAUCCUGCUUUUGAACAGGUGGAGAUCAAAGCUGGGGACCGCAAGGCCCGGCACUCGAAGAGGGGCCCGCGUCUGAUUAGCUAGUUGGUGAGGUAACGGCUCACCAAGGCAACGAUCAGUAUCCGGCCUGAGAGGGCGGACGGACACACUGGGACUGAGACACGGCCCAGACUCCUACGGGAGGCAGCAGUGGGGAAUUGUUCGCAAUGGGCGCAAGCCUGACGACGCAACGCCGCGUGGAGGAUGAAGAUUUUCGGAUCGUAAACUCCUGUCGAA
This 421-nucleotide ribosomal RNA is filed under the name uncultured bacterium. RNAcentral describes it as "bacterial SSU rRNA". It matches the Rfam family "Bacterial small subunit ribosomal RNA", at positions 32 to 440 of the family's 1533-position model. The record is from RNAcentral.